ACGCUAGCUACAGGCUUAACACAUGCAAGUCGAGGGGAAACGGCAUUAAGUGCUUGCACUUUUUGGACGUCGACCGGCGCACGGGUGAGUAACGCGUAUCCAACCUUCCCAUGACUAAGGGAUAACCUGCCGAAAGGCAGACUAAUACCUUAUGGUCUUCACUGACGGCAUCAGAUGUGAAGUAAAGAUUUAUCGGUUAUGGAUGGGGAUGCGUCUGAUUAGUUAGUUGGCGGGGUAACGGCCCACCAAGGCAACGAUCAGUAGGGGUUCUGAGAGGAAGGUCCCCCACAUUGGAACUGAGACACGGUCCAAACUCCUACGGGAGGCAGCAGUGAGGAAUAUUGGUCAAUGGGCGAGAGCCUGAACCAGCCAAGUAGCGUGCAGGAUGACGGCCCUAUGGGUUGUAAACUGCUUUUGUAUGGGGAUAAAGUCAAUCACGUGUGAUUGUUUGCAGGUACCAUACGAAUAAGGACCGGCUAAUUCCGUGCCAGCAGCCGCGGUAAUACGGAAGGUCCGGGCGUUAUCCGGAUUUAUUGGGUUUAAAGGGAGCGUAGGCUGGAGAUUAAGUGUGUUGUGAAAUGUAGACGCUCAACGUCUGACUUGCAGCGCAUACUGGUUUCCUUGAGUACGCACAACGUUGGCGGAAUUCGUCGUGUAGCGGUGAAAUGCUUAGAUAUGACGAAGAACUCCGAUUGCGAAGGCAGCUGACGGGAGCGCAACUGACGCUGAAGCUCGAAGGUGCGGGUAUCGAACAGGAUUAGAUACCCUGGUAGUCCGCACAGUAAACGAUGGAUGCCCGCUGUCGGUACGUGGUAUGAGCGGCUAAGCGAAAGCAUUAAGCAUCCCACCUGGGGAGUACGCCGGCAACGGUGAAACUCAAAGGAAUUGACGGGGGCCCGCACAAGCGGAGGAACAUGUGG
RNAcentral lists this ribosomal RNA (920 nucleotides) under uncultured bacterium. RNAcentral's name for it is "bacterial SSU rRNA". It matches the Rfam family "Bacterial small subunit ribosomal RNA", at positions 33 to 944 of the family's 1533-position model. The record is from RNAcentral.